RNAcentral lists this non-coding RNA (184 nucleotides) under Sedimenticola sp. RNAcentral describes it as "6S RNA". It matches the Rfam family "6S / SsrS RNA". From Rfam's summary of the family: E. coli 6S RNA was the first non coding RNA to be sequenced, but its function was unknown until recently. It consists of 184 nucleotides that fold into an extended hairpin structure with a large single-stranded internal bulge. The 6S RNA specifically associates with RNA polymerase holoenzyme containing the sigma70 specificity factor. The record is from RNAcentral. Lineage: Bacteria; Pseudomonadati; Pseudomonadota; Gammaproteobacteria; Chromatiales; Sedimenticolaceae.
UAUCCCCUGCAGUGCUCGUCAGCAGGCCGGGUAUUUUCUUGAGCCUAAUACGUACCCUGGGGGCAUGACGCAGUUACCGGUGUGCAUGUCCGCCCCGAGCGGAAAGCCUGAAGUGCUGCUGUUGUCCCCACUUGAACCUUCAGGUUCAAGAACGAAAGCAGGCAACGGCACAGGUGGGGGAUAC